AGAGUUUGAUCAUGGCUCAGAGCGAACGCUGGCGGCGUACUUAACACAUGCAAGUCGAACGAGGAUCGUCGGUGUAGCAAUACAUUGGCGGUCCUAGUGGCGCACGGGUGAGUAACACGUGGGUGACCUGCCCUGGAGCUCGGGAUACCCCCUCGAAAGGGGGGCUAAUACCGGAUACGUUCCUCGGUCGAAAGACCGGGGAGGAAAGGUGGCGCAAGCUGCCGCUCUUGGAGGGGCUCGCGGCCUAUCAGCUAGUUGGCGGGGUAACGGCCCACCAAGGCUAUGACGGGUAGCUGGUCUGAGAGGACGACCAGCCACACGGGGACUGAGACACGGCCCCGACUCCUACGGGAGGCAGCAGUGGGGAAUUUUCCGCAAUGGGCGAAAGCCUGACGGAGUGACGCCGCGUGUGGGACGAAGGCCUUCGGGUCGUAAACCACUGUCAGUGGGAAAGAUGGGUGCCGGUGCUAAUACCAUCGGUAUCUGACGGUACCUGCAGAGGAAGCCCCGGCCAACUCUGUGCCAGCAGCCGCGGUAAGACAGAGGGGGCAAGCGUUGCUCGGAAUUACUGGGCGUAAAGGGCGCGUAGGCGGGAUGGCAAGUCGGUCGUGAAAUCCCUCGGCUCAACCGAGGAACGUCGAUCGAUACUGCUGUUCUUGAGGAUUGCAGAGGAGACUGGAAUUCCCGGUGUAGCGGUGAAAUGUGUAGAGAUCGGGAGGAACACCGGUGGCGAAGGCGGGUCUCUGGGCAAUUCCUGACGCUGAGGCGCGAAAGCGUGGGGAGCAAACGGGAUUAGAUACCCCGGUAGUCCACGCUGUAAACGAUGACGACUAGGUGUGGGGGGGUUCAGUCCCUUCCGUGCCGCAGCUAACGCAUUAAGUCGUCCGCCUGGGGAGUACGGCCGCAAGGUUGAAACUUAAAGGAAUUGACGG
This 932-nucleotide ribosomal RNA is filed under the name uncultured bacterium. Its description in RNAcentral is "bacterial SSU rRNA". It matches the Rfam family "Bacterial small subunit ribosomal RNA", at positions 8 to 916 of the family's 1533-position model. The record is from RNAcentral.